CCGCGGUAUCCUAACCGUGCAAAGGUAGCGCAAUCAAUUGCCCCUUAAAUGGGGGCCUGUAUGAAUGGUAUGACGAGGGUUCUACUGUCUCUUUUUUCCAGUCAGUGAAACUGAUCUGUCCGUGCAGAAGCGGACAUUUUUAUACAAGACGAGAAGACCCUAUGGAGCUUUAGACACUAGCCAACUUUUAUAAGCAAUCUAACCAAAAGAAUUCCACUUAAGAUAGUACUGGUAAUGUAGUCUUAGGUUGGGGCGACCACGGGAGAAAAAACAGCUCCCAAGAAGAAAGGGGAAAACACCCUUAAACCAAGAGUUACAACUCAAGGCCACAAAAUUUUUGACUAAUAUGAUCCGGCAUAAGCCGAUUAACGAACUAAGUUACCCUAGGGAUAACAGCGCAAUCCCCUCCCAGAGUCCCUAUCGACAAGGGGGUUUACGACCUCGAUGUUGGAUCAGGACAUCCUAAUGGUGCAACCGCUAUUAAGGGUUCGUUUGUUCAACGAUUAAAGUCCUACAUGAUCUGAUUUCCAAAACAGGGA
Molecule: ribosomal RNA, 539 nt
Filed under: Stolephorus sp. APK-2016
Lineage: Eukaryota; Metazoa; Chordata; Actinopteri; Clupeiformes; Engraulidae
Description: partial 16S ribosomal RNA
Rfam family: Bacterial large subunit ribosomal RNA
Source: RNAcentral